UACGUAGGGGGCAAGCGUUGUCCGGAUUUAUUGGGCGUAAAGCGCGUGUAGGCGGCUUGGUAGGUCUCGCGUCAAAACCUGAGGCUCAACCUCAGUUCGCGUGGGAAACCACCUAGCUAGAGUCCGGAAGAGGAGAACGGAAUUCCCAGUGUAGCGGUGAAAUGCGCAGAUAUUGGGAAGAACACCAGUGGCGAAGGCGGUUCUCUGGGACGGUACUGACGCUGAGACGCGAAAGCGUGGGGAGCGAACAGG
RNAcentral lists this ribosomal RNA (252 nucleotides) under uncultured bacterium. Its description in RNAcentral is "partial 16S ribosomal RNA". It matches the Rfam family "Bacterial small subunit ribosomal RNA", at positions 524 to 776 of the family's 1533-position model. The record is from RNAcentral.